Molecule: long non-coding RNA, 1330 nt
Filed under: Chrysemys picta bellii (western painted turtle)
Lineage: Eukaryota; Metazoa; Chordata; Testudines; Emydidae
Description: lncRNA (ENSCPBG00000017707.1)
Source: RNAcentral
CUCUGGGCCACAGUGAGAUUAGUGGGAGCAUCUUCUGUAACAACGGCACUUUGUCUUCACAGACCACAAGCAGUGGGGGGCCAUGUCCCCCAGGACACUACUGCACAGUGGGGAGCAGCGGAGCACAGCCAUGCCCUGCAGGGAGCUACAGCCCAUUCUGGGGCAUGGUGCAGUGUUUGGAGUGCCCAGAAGGCUUUUACUGUAAGGUUGGUUCCAGCAAUUACACGGACUGUCCCGCAGGUGAGUGUGUCUGCAGUUACAUCAUUGGGAAUGUGGGGAACAGUGUCAUAAGGGCACUAGCAGCUCUUUGUAAGGUUCAGCACUAAGGUAAAGCACUGUCGGCUUCACUGAAUGCUUCCACCUUGGCUGGAGGUCCUGUAUAAUACUGAUGAGUCACACCAUGGACUGAUUGACAUAUCCUGGGAUCAGUUCUUUUGGUAAAAUUGAUGGAGAGGGCACCCCAGCACCCUUGCCAACAAUUUGAGACAUUGCAAGCAUCUCUUAACUGUUAGGAAAACUGUCGUCUCCCUCCUAGGACAUUACUGCCCAAGGAAUACGGAGUUUGCCACACAGUAUCCCUGUCCACCAGGAACCUACAGUGAGGACUUAAACACGAGGGAUGCCUCCAAGUGCCAGCUGUGUCCCCCUGGAAAAGUCUGCUCCAAAUCAGGCUUGACGAGUCCUGAUGGACCAUGCACACCUGGAUGGUUUUGUCCACCCGGAUCAGCAUCAGGCGAGCCAAUAUCCCUAGGGUCAGAAGCUUCACCUCGCGGGUCCUUCAGGCUAUGCCAAGCAGGAACGUUUUGUCCUGGUGGUUCAUCUCUUCCUAUUCCCUGUACCCCAGGCUCGUACUGUGCAUCUGCAGAGCUGGCUGUGCCAUCUGGUCCCUGUGAUGCUGGCUUUUACUGCACUAGGGGGUCCACGCUCCCCAACCCAACAGAUGGGGCAGUAGGAAAUAUUUGUCCUCCAGGCUACGUGUGUCCCCAAGGAAGUUCUUCUCCAUCUCCAUGUCCCCCAGGCUCUUUUUUGGCCCAUCAUGGUGGCCAAUCAGCACAAGAUUGCCGGCCCUGUUUAGCAGGAUGGUUCUGCUCCCACCGAGGUCAAAGUACACCAGAGGGGCGGUGUAAGGAAGGCUGGUUUUGCCCAGAGGGGUCUGUAUCAGGACUUAAUCCAGAUUAUAUAUGUCCUGUUGGCCACUAUUGCCCCACAGGCAGCCCAGAGCCCAAACCCUGUCCCUCUGGGAAAUACCAGGACCAGACUGGUCAAAGCCUGUGCAAGACGUGCCCAACAGGAAAGUUCUGUGGCCCAGAAGUCCAAAUCCAAGAUCACA